Molecule: long non-coding RNA, 629 nt
Organism: Anolis carolinensis (green anole)
Lineage: Eukaryota; Metazoa; Chordata; Lepidosauria; Squamata; Anolidae
Exons: 2
Source: RefSeq, a predicted model, not a curated record
AUAAGCUGGUCUUCAAACUAUCUCAAAUGUAAGUUGGCCCUAUAAUGCUACUGAUCAAUCACCAGAUCAGCAGUGACCCAGCAUACUUCGAAAAUGAUUCCACUGUGGUUGUCAUAAAGGUGAGCUGGCUCUAUGAUGCUAUUGGUUAUAAGGAACAGAACACAGCAGAAGUUCUAAUGGGAACAGAAUAUUCUGUUGGCAGUUCUGUAGAUACGCCAAAAGACCAUGUUUUUAACCUACUACUGGCAUGAGACACUGAAUGUAAAAGCAAGAUCUUCCCUUCCCACAAUAGAAAAUUAAAGGCUUCGGACAUUAUCCACCUGCACCUGCGCUCCAAAGUACACAGAGCUAUCCGUGCUCAGCGUCUGGAAAUACAGGGGAGCUUUGCGUCGUUCUACAUAACUAUCAUCAAGGGACAGGCUGGUGAAGUUCCGAUUCAGCUCAAGGAAGACGGAAUGCCAGCUCCCAUCGUUCACAGCCCUGCCAGAAAUUCCCAGAAUGCCUGGGCCGAUGCCACAGUCCAACUGGAACCACAGUUUGCCAUCCACAAUCUGCAAAAGGAAAGCAAACAUAGGAGACUUUUGUAUUUGUUCUAGUAUAUGCAGUAAAUGUGUCAUAUAAUACGGCAA